This 522-nucleotide ribosomal RNA is filed under the name uncultured Ferrovum sp. Its description in RNAcentral is "bacterial SSU rRNA". It matches the Rfam family "Bacterial small subunit ribosomal RNA", at positions 400 to 915 of the family's 1533-position model. Lineage: Bacteria; Pseudomonadati; Pseudomonadota; Betaproteobacteria; Ferrovales; Ferrovaceae. The record is from RNAcentral.
CGUGAGUGAAGAAGGCCUUCGGGUUGUAAAGCUCUUUCGUGAGGGAAGAAAAGGUUCAUGCCAAUAACCUGGAUUGAUGACGGUACCUCAAGAAGAAGCACCGGCUAACUACGUGCCAGCAGCCGCGGUAAUACGUAGGGUGCGAGCGUUAAUCGGAAUUACUGGGCGUAAAGCGUGCGCAGGUGGUUUGUUAAGUCUGAUGUGAAAGCCCCGAGCUUAACUUGGGAACUGCGUUUGAAACUGGCGAGCUAGAGUCUGUCAGAGGGGGGUAGAAUUCCACGUGUAGCAAUGAAAUGCGUAAAGAUGUGGAGGAAUACCAAUGGCGAAGGCAGCCCCCUGGGAUAAGACUGACGCUCAUGCACGAAAGCGUGGGGAGCAAACAGGAUUAGAUACCCUGGUAGUCCACGCCCUAAACGAUGUCAACUGGUUGUUGGGCAACUUGAUUGUUCAGUAACGAAGCUAACGCGAGAAGUUGACCGCCUGGGGAGUACGGUCGCAAGAUUAAAACUCAAAGAAUUGACG